Molecule: long non-coding RNA, 405 nt
Organism: Rhagoletis pomonella (apple maggot)
Lineage: Eukaryota; Metazoa; Arthropoda; Insecta; Diptera; Tephritidae
Exons: 3
Source: RefSeq, a predicted model, not a curated record
GCCGAGCUAGAGUGCGUACUAAUCCGGCUGGUGAUCGUGUUUCAAUAGUGGACGAAGACCACAACCAUGCCAUAGUGAGAGAGCGGCGUAAGAAGGGCACACUCAAGUGUGUUUAUGAGCAACGAAAGCUGGAACAAAGUCGCUGCUUUAAAUAGCAGUUAUACCUCAAUCGCAUUUCUGGCUAGUAAAUUUGAGGACGAAUGGAUAUGGUUUGAGCCAUAAGCUUCGGUAAGCAAAUCCAAUUUUUGGCAGAAAAUGUCAGUUACGCGGUUUUGCAGAACGACGAUACGCGGUUUUGGGCUUUAAACGACCAUAUGUAUGUCUAUAUUCAUCAGGCAGCAUUGCGGCUACUGCAGAAUGUUUUGCGAAGCUGAAGUAUAAUUAUCGAGGUCAACUAGUCCACAG